GGAGGGGUGGCAGAGCGGUCGAUCGCGGCGGUCUUGAAAACCGUUGACGGCGGCGACGUCGUCCGUGGGUUCGAAUCCCACCCCCUCCGCCA
This 92-nucleotide transfer RNA is filed under the name Actinomycetota bacterium. Its description in RNAcentral is "Actinobacteria bacterium tRNA-Ser". It matches the Rfam family "tRNA". From Rfam's summary of the family: Transfer RNA (tRNA) molecules are approximately 80 nucleotides in length. Their secondary structure includes four short double-helical elements and three loops (D, anti-codon, and T loops). Further hydrogen bonds mediate the characteristic L-shaped molecular structure. tRNAs have two regions of fundamental functional importance: the anti-codon, which is responsible for specific mRNA codon recognition, and the 3' end, to which the tRNAs corresponding amino acid is attached (by aminoacyl-tRNA synthetases). tRNAs cope with the degeneracy of the genetic code in two manners: having more than one tRNA (with a specific anti-codon) for a particular amino acid; and 'wobble' base-pairing, i.e. permitting non-standard base-pairing at the 3rd anti-codon position. The record is from RNAcentral. Lineage: Bacteria; Bacillati; Actinomycetota.